UACGUAGGGGGCUAGCGUUGUCCGGAAUCAUUGGGCGUAAAGCGCGUGUAGGCGGUUCGGUAAGUCCGCUGUGAAAGUCGAGGGCUCAACCCUCGAAAGCCGGUGGAUACUGUCGGGCUAGAGUGCGGAAGAGGCGAGUGGAAUUCCUGGGGUAGCGGUGAAAUGCGUAGAUAUCGGAAGGAACACCUGUGGCGAAAGCGGCUCACUGGACCAUAACUGACGCUGAGGCGCGAAAGCUAGGGGAGCAAACAGG
This 253-nucleotide ribosomal RNA is filed under the name uncultured bacterium. RNAcentral's name for it is "partial 16S ribosomal RNA". It matches the Rfam family "Bacterial small subunit ribosomal RNA", at positions 524 to 776 of the family's 1533-position model. The record is from RNAcentral.